ACGAAGGUCCCGAGCGUUAUUCGGAAUCACUGGGCGUAAAGAGUACGUAGGCGGUUUGGUAAGUCAGGUGUGAAAUCCCGAAGCUCAACUUCGGAACUGCAUCCGAUACUGCCAGACUAGAGAGAUGGAGAGGCAGGUGGAAUUCUCGGUGUAGCAGUGAAAUGCGUGGAUAUCGAGAGGAAGACCAAUGGCGAAGGCAGCCUGCUGGACAUUUUCUGACGCUGAGGUACGAAGGCUAGGGUAGCGAAAGGG
RNAcentral lists this ribosomal RNA (252 nucleotides) under uncultured bacterium. RNAcentral's name for it is "partial 16S ribosomal RNA". It matches the Rfam family "Bacterial small subunit ribosomal RNA", at positions 525 to 776 of the family's 1533-position model. The record is from RNAcentral.